UCGCAAUCGGUCCGAUGAUGCCGAGGCCGUUGCGUGAGGGCGUCAGGUAAAUCGGCGUUGCACCCGUCAUAAUCAGCGAGUGCAGGAUAGACUU
This 94-nucleotide small RNA is filed under the name Sinorhizobium meliloti 2011. Its description in RNAcentral is "putative ncRNA". The record is from RNAcentral. Lineage: Bacteria; Pseudomonadati; Pseudomonadota; Alphaproteobacteria; Hyphomicrobiales; Rhizobiaceae.